GUGAGAUGCCCUCUCCCGCCUACCAGAGUAGAGCAGUGACCUCUGCAGAGCUGUGCCCAGCGCUGGGAGCUGCGAGCCGCGCAGAGACGUAGCUGCUGGUGGCCUGAAAGCGGUAGGACGCUUUUGGAGGGCAUCCCUUUAAGUGAUUAGCAGCAAAAAUUUUAAAAUGAAAAGAGGCCCUGCGUCGGUCUUUGGAAGAAGCCUGCAGGAGCCCCAAGAACAGACCCAGUGGUGACAGGCAUGGGAGCCUUUGCAGGCAAGAGCACACGGAGCCUGUGCCAGCCCACCGACGUCCUGUGUCUGGCGUGUCCACAUUUCUCUGCUUUGAAAUUUUUCUUUAUAAAGUAAUCUGUAACCUCCUGC
Molecule: long non-coding RNA, 363 nt
Organism: Hippopotamus amphibius kiboko
Lineage: Eukaryota; Metazoa; Chordata; Mammalia; Artiodactyla; Hippopotamidae
Exons: 3
Source: RefSeq, a predicted model, not a curated record